AUCAGUCGCAGCAAAUACGCAUAAACAUCUAUUGCAGAAAUUCUAGAAUAAAGAACCUAUACGCUACUCUAUUUUUCAGCAGUAAAUUUCUGUACAAAGGCGUGAAUCAUAGAAUAAACAAAGAUAAUGAAGAGUAAAAAAAAUUAAAGCUACAAAAGGUCUCCUCUGAAAAGCUUAAAUACGUCAAAAAGGAAAAGGAAAGUAACAUUGGAUUUACCUCAGAAAAACGAGAUCGGGAGAAAGUGCAGGAAGCCGAAACAGAAAAAUCACUGGGAGCUCCACUAGAAGCUUCAUUGUACCAAAAUAUAUGAGCGUAGAAAGCUCAAAGGUACAACUUGAGUGUUAGCUGAAGGUGUUAUAUCCACCGCAGAGUGGUCGCCGGAAACGGAAAACUAACAUUCCGGAGCAAAUGUUGCCGGAGAUUCGGCUUUCACGCUGAGUGUUAGGUGCAGAUAUUUUCACGGCAGAGUAGUCGCCGGCAACGAAAACUGGUUUCCGAUGGAAAUGUGACCGGAGGUAGAUUCAGCUUCGACCUGAGUUUUAGAUGAAUUGUACCAAAAUAUAUCAGCGUAGAAAGCUCAAAGGUACAACUUGAGUGUUAGCUGAAGGUGUUAUAUCCACCGCAGAGUGGUCGCCGGAAACGGAAAACUAACAUUCCGGAGCAAAUGUUGCCGGAGAUUCGGCUUUCACGCUGAGUGUUAGGUGCAGAUAUUUUCACGGCAGAGUAGUCGCCGGCAACGAAAACUGGUUUCCGAUGGAAAUGUGACCGGAGGUAGAUUCAGCUUCGACCUGAGUUUUAGAUGAAGGUGGUGUGGUCGCCGCCUCGCCGGAAAGGGGAAACUAACUUCUGAAGGAAAUGUGGCCGGAGAUUCGGUUCGGAAAGAGCGACCGACUAACGGACUUGACUAGCUUUUGUUUAUUCUGAUUUAUUAAACGAGGAUUCAAUUUUAUCAAUUACAGAGAAAGUAGAGGAGAAGUGAAGUGAAAAUUUUCUACAUCAAUAAGGACAGAAUAAUAGAUUGUGCAUCAAGUACA
This 1035-nucleotide long non-coding RNA is filed under the name Nicotiana benthamiana. RNAcentral describes it as "long non-coding RNA (NBEN_LNC012219)". Lineage: Eukaryota; Viridiplantae; Streptophyta; Magnoliopsida; Solanales; Solanaceae. The record is from RNAcentral.